Molecule: ribosomal RNA, 720 nt
Filed under: Acinetobacter calcoaceticus
Lineage: Bacteria; Pseudomonadati; Pseudomonadota; Gammaproteobacteria; Moraxellales; Moraxellaceae
Description: bacterial SSU rRNA
Rfam family: Bacterial small subunit ribosomal RNA
Source: RNAcentral
GGUAGCUUGCUACCGGACCUAGCGGCGGACGGGUGAGUAAUGCUUAGGAAUCUGCCUAUUAGUGGGGGACAACAUCUCGAAAGGGAUGCUAAUACCGCAUACGUCCUACGGGAGAAAGCAGGGGAUCUUCGGACCUUGCGCUAAUAGAUGAGCCUAAGUCGGAUUAGCUAGUUGGUGGGGUAAAGGCCUACCAAGGCGACGAUCUGUAGCGGGUCUGAGAGGAUGAUCCGCCACACUGGGACUGAGACACGGCCCAGACUCCUACGGGAGGCAGCAGUGGGGAAUAUUGGACAAUGGGCGCAAGCCUGAUCCAGCCAUGCCGCGUGUGUGAAGAAGGCCUUAUGGUUGUAAAGCACUUUAAGCGAGGAGGAGGCUACUUUAGAUAAUACCUAGAGAUAGUGGACGUUACUCGCAGAAUAAGCACCGGCUAACUCUGUGCCAGCAGCCGCGGUAAUACAGAGGGUGCAAGCGUUAAUCGGAUUUACUGGGCGUAAAGCGCGCGUAGGCGGCUAAUUAAGUCAAAUGUGAAAUCCCCGAGCUUAACUUGGGAAUUGCAUUCGAUACUGGUUAGCUAGAGUGUGGGAGAGGAUGGUAGAAUUCCAGGUGUAGCGGUGAAAUGCGUAGAGAUCUGGAGGAAUACCGAUGGCGAAGGCAGCCAUCUGGCCUAACACUGACGCUGAGGUGCGAAAGCAUGGGGAGCAAACAGGAUUAGAUACCCUG